CUAAGAAUCUUCCGCAAUGGGCGAAAGCCUGACGGAGCGACGCCGCGUGAACGAUGAAGGCCGAAAGGUUGUAAAGUUCUUUUCUCAGGGAAGAAUAAGGAUAAGAGUGGAAAGCUUGUCUGAUGACAUUAACUGAGGAAUAAGCCCCGGCCAAUUACGUGCCAGCAGCCGCGGUAAUACGUAUGGGGCGAGCGUUGUUCGGAAUUAUUGGGCGUAAAGGGCGUGUAGGCGGUUUCAUAAGCCUGGUGUGAAAUACCCCAGCUCAACUGGGGGAGCGCGCUGGGAACUGUGAGACUAGAGUUCAGGAGAGGAAGCUGGAAUUCCAGGUGUAGGGGUGAAAUCUGUAGAUAUCUGGAAGAACACCAAUGGCGAAGGCAAGCUUCUGGCCAUGGACUGACGCUGAGGCGCGAAAGCGUGGGGAGCAAACAGG
RNAcentral lists this ribosomal RNA (430 nucleotides) under uncultured Spirochaeta sp. RNAcentral describes it as "bacterial SSU rRNA". It matches the Rfam family "Bacterial small subunit ribosomal RNA", at positions 355 to 776 of the family's 1533-position model. The record is from RNAcentral. Lineage: Bacteria; Pseudomonadati; Spirochaetota; Spirochaetia; Spirochaetales; Spirochaetaceae.